This 1713-nucleotide long non-coding RNA is filed under the name Macaca fascicularis (crab-eating macaque). RNAcentral's name for it is "lncRNA (ENSMFAG00000057093.1)". Lineage: Eukaryota; Metazoa; Chordata; Mammalia; Primates; Cercopithecidae. The record is from RNAcentral.
UUUUUAUUUUUAUUUUUGGAGGCAGAGAACAUACUCCCUCUUUUCCUGGUUUAUUCAAAGUGAGUCUGAUUGGCUGGGCGUGGUGGCUCACUCCUGUAAUUCUAGUACUUUGGAAGACCAAGGCGGGAGGAUGGCCUGAGGUCAGGAGUUUGAGACUAGCCUGGCUAACAUGGUGAAAUCUCGUCUCUACCAAAAAUACAAAAAUUAGCAGGCAUGGUACUGUACUCCUGUAAUCCCAGCUACUCGGGAGACUGAGGCAAGAGAAUCACUUGUAACCCGGGAGAUGGAGGUUGCAGUGAGCCAACAUCGCACCACUGCGCUCCAGCCUGGGAACAGAGCUAGACUCUGUCUCCAGAAAAAACCAAAGUGGGUCUGCUGUUCACAGUUCAUGAUCACAUCAGGAGAAAACAAUCUGAGCGAGCAGAAGAAAAAGGCCACACAAACAACUCCACAGCCCUCAGACAACCCUGAAAUCUGGCACACGUCUGCAAGCAAAAAUCCAGGAUGGAUGGACUGGUGUUUUCCAGACUUGCCAGACCCAAAGGAGCACCUCGGGCACUUGUUAGAACACAGAUACCAGGCCCCUGCCCUGGAGCCGCUGCUUCUGCAGAUUUGUACACACCUGGGAAACACCAGAUCACAUGAAUUUGGCCAGGUGCUCUAAGGGACACACCACACUCUCAUAACUGAGUAAAAAACUAAAUCCAGAGCCAAAGAAACUGAGGAGACAGAGGACUUGUUCCCUGGCCUGUUCUUUGGGAACAGGUACUUCAGCUCAACCACUUUCCUUCCCAGGAAAACCGAGAACACCUGUGGAAAAAAAAAUCACCCCUGUUAUGUUCCUGUGGCUCUUACACAUGAAAUGUGAAUCCAUGAAGUCCAAAGACCAAAUGGUUUGGCAAUAUUUAUUUGGCAGAGGAGCGAAGGGGGAAAAGUUACGUUUAUUUUUAAAAUUUUGUUUUUCAAUGAAAAAUAAUAGGAGAGAAACUAGCCAUUUAAAACUCAGGAAAAUGAACUAGUUACUUGUUUUGUAGCCUGAGAGGGAAAUUGCACUUGCAGCAAUAGAGAUACAAAAAAAAAAAAAAAAUGUAUAAUGUUUCACUUAAUACUGGGGACAGUAGCUCAAGAUGUUGAAAGAAGCAUAUAAUAUGUCCCCUGGGGGAUCUGAAGGUAGCAGCGUAGGUGACAAAAAAGCCUGGAGGAUUGAGGUAGAGAAGGAAGCUUUCAUCUGGUCAAAUGAGUAGCCAGAGUGCAGGGUGGAAUGCUGAACACUGGAUGCAGCACGCUGUCACUAAGCGAGCUCUCCCUGCACAAAGAAUAGCCCAACAGAGCCCCAAUUACUAUAUUUCAUGGACACUCUGUCUCACUGGAAUACAACUUGUUGGGGGAUUAGUGUCUAGAGAGAAAGUCUCAAAUAAACUUUUAUUAAAAGACGGGAUGCUUAGAAAUGGCAACUGCUUCUUUUUAAUUCCAAAAGCAAUCCGAACCGUAACUCAAGAGUUCUGCCGUCUGAUAACUGAGUAAAAUCCAACGCUGUUCUUGAAAUUUUAUAGACAUUCCUCUCUUUCUAAGUACAUGAAUAGUGUAUAUACACUCUUCAAAGACUCGAUUUUUCUCUUUUGUAGCAAAAUGGCAAGAGCCUAUGGGAAUGUGGUGCCUGGGGCAAUGUUCCUUUUUGCUUAGAAGCGACCUGCUAAUCACCUGCAAGUAAUA